GAUGAACGCUGGCGGCGUGCCUAAUACAUGCAAGUCGAGCGAACAGACGAGGAGCUUGCUCCUCUUACGUUAGCGGCGGACGGGUGAGUAACACGUGGAUAACCUACCUAUAAGACUGGGAUAACUUCGGGAAACCGGAGCUAAUACCGGAUAAUAUAUUGAACCGCAUGGUUCAAUAGUGAAAGACGGUUUUGCUGUCACUUAUAGAUGGAUCCGCGCCGCAUUAGCUAGUUGGUAAGGUAACGGCUUACCAAGGCAACGAUGCGUAGCCGACCUGAGAGGGUGAUCGGCCACACUGGAACUGAGACACGGUCCAGACCCCUACGGGAGGCAGCAGUAGGGAAUCUUCCGCAAUGGGCGAAAGCCUGACGGAGCAACGCCGCGUGAGUGAUGAAGGUCUUCGGAUCGUAAAACUCUGUUAUUAGGGAAGAACAAAUGUGUAAGUAACUAUGCACGUCUUGACGGUACCUAAUCAGAAAGCCACGGCUAACUACGUG
This 497-nucleotide ribosomal RNA is filed under the name uncultured bacterium. Its description in RNAcentral is "partial 16S ribosomal RNA". It matches the Rfam family "Bacterial small subunit ribosomal RNA", at positions 28 to 507 of the family's 1533-position model. The record is from RNAcentral.